ACUCCUACGGGAGGCAGAAGUGGGGAAUAUUGGACAAUGGGCGCAAGCCUGAUCCAGCCAUGCCGCGUGAGUGAUGAAGGCCCUAGGGUUGUAAAGCUCUUUCACCGGUGAAGAUAAUGACGGUAACCGGAGAAGAAGCCCCGGCUAACUUCGUGCCAGCAGCCGCGGUAAUACGAAGGGGGCUAGCGUUGUUCGGAUUUACUGGGCGUAAAGCGCACGUAGGCGGACUAUUAAGUCAGGGGUGAAAUCCCGGGGCUCAACCCCGGAACUGCCUUUGAUACUGGUAGUCUUGAGUUCGAGAGAGGUGAGUGGAAUUCCGAGUGUAGGGGUGAAAUUCGUAGAUAUUCGGAGGAACACCAGUGGCGAAGGCGGCUCACUGGCUCGAUACUGACGCUGAGGUGCGAAAGCGUGGGGAGCAAACAGGAUUAGAUACCCGGGUAGUCCCAUGAU
RNAcentral lists this ribosomal RNA (450 nucleotides) under uncultured organism. Its description in RNAcentral is "partial 16S ribosomal RNA". It matches the Rfam family "Bacterial small subunit ribosomal RNA", at positions 335 to 801 of the family's 1533-position model. The record is from RNAcentral.